CCACUGCCUCUUUCUAUAAAAUUAUCAGUAGCUUCCCCCUUCUCUUUCUCCCUUCUCUCUCUCUCUCUCCCUCUCUUUCUCUCCCUCCCCCGCUCUCUCUCUCUCUCUCUCUCUUUCUCUCUAGUUACUGUUCUAUUGAUCGCAUGCCGGUCUUUCGGAUUCCUCCGGUGCACCACGAGUGGAUGAAGCUGCCAGCAUGAUCUGAUCAUCCCUUGGAUCUGUGUGUCAUGGACCUCCACAGGAGAUAAAUCAGGUCAUCUGGCAGUUUCAUCUGCUGAUGGGAGCAUCAGAAGAAAGAAACCCUAAACCUAGUUCAUUAGGGUUUCAUCCGCUGUUUUCUGUGUUUGUUUGUCCUUUCUUUCUCCUGGCAUGUGAUCUGAUGAGGAAUUUAGCUCAAUCAAACCGAAGAAGAGGAUAAGAGGGAAAGCAAGGGCCUGUUCUUAAGGUCUUGUACAAGAAAAAUGACUUCUGCUUGGGAUGAUUUAUCUCUCUUUGAUAUAAAGUUGAAUUUUGUUGUUCUUGCUAAAAUCCUUCUCUGGAUGUCAAUGCGUCAGAAUCAUCAGAAGCAAUUACACCUCAAAAGUAUGGUAUCAAUUUUCCUUAAGCUGCCACUGCUCACAAUUAGUAUGCACUUUGAAAAAGAUUGAAGCUUUUGCUCACUGUUCUAUAUGGAUUUCAGCUUUCUUCUAAGAAGAAAAGCAUCAACUUCGACUUCAGUUAUUAUUUUCAUUGGUAAGAUCUUGAUUCGGAAGCAUGAGAAUUGCUGUGUUAAUUUCCAAGCAUACACCAAAUGCUUGUCCUAAUUAUAUCAAACUACACCUCAAAUUUCAUCUAAAUUUGUCUCGAUAGAUUGUUGGACACGCGUCGAUAUGCUUGAUUUUUGUUUUUUCUUCUUUUUCAACCAAUUAUUUUGUUUUUGCCUUUGUUAUGCUUUACAUGUAAUCCACAAUUCUUGUUGUCUUUUAGUUUUCACGCGGUAUUAACGGCUAAACUAUUUUUCUUGGAAUGCAGUUGAAGAGUGUUUCAUUUCAUAUUUUGUGGGUUCCCUAAAAGAAAACUCAUGAACUUCCUUUCAUUCAUUUGAAUUUUUGAAGCAAGCUACUAUGAGUUUAUCACUCUCUAAUUGAAAAUGAAGCAAAAUGAUACCUUCAAAGAAUAUAAAAAGCUUUUCAGAUUCAUCAAUCAUGCUUUCUUCUGAAUUUUCUAACUAUUUUCCCCUUAAACUGCUCUUUGCAUUAUGAUUAGGCAUUCAAAACUAUUGAUGCUCAGAAGUCUGCAGAAACUAAUAUAUGUUUUGUUCUUCCUACUUGAGAUAGAUUUCAUGUUUCUGAAUUGACUUGUGAUUCCCCAUGGGAAAACAACAGCCUCCAUCUCAAAGAAAUUCUUGUCUACAUUGGUAAUCAUGCCUUAGUGCAACCACACAUCAAGAACAUAACUUUAGUGUCUCUGGAGCAAGUAAUGAUUGUUUGGAAAGCUGCUGCCUUCCAACAGACAUCUUCUCCUUCAUUUUGAUUUUGUUUGCUAAGAGGCAGCUUCUCAUAAAACAUACAUAGCAGUAGGAGCAAAGUAAGACAUCUCUUAGAUGCACUGAAGAGAAUUUGAGGAUGGAAGAAAGGCAGCAGUUUGGAAGCUGGAGAAGAAUUCAAGCUGGUGUUUUCUGAACUUAAUACCAAGAAUUGACCUCCAAGAUGUCUUUUUCAUGUGCAAGUGACCAGUUAUUGCCAUCCAAAUUCAUACAGCAUGAGCAGUAGUGUUCCAUGCAAAUGCAGCUUAGCCAUUGAUUCACAUAGUUGUUGCAGUACUCAACUAUUGCAGUCAGGGAAUCACAAGCCUUUUGCUGAGUGCCAAAAGAGCAUAAGAAUAAGCUUGAGUGGCUGCACAAGCACAGUGCAGUGAUGGGAAUAAGAGGAGGAGAUGAGCUCUUCAUCUUGGAGUAGGUGGGUCAGGGAAAGCAUAUCAUCCACAGGAUGUGUCAACCUUUGAAAAGAUUGCUCACUUGGAACAAAUUUAUGCUCAAGUAUUACACAGCCAAAUUACUUUUAAAGCUUAGGUUACUCAUUCUCUUUUCGCGAAAAGAUUCAAUAUUAUAAUUCUAAUUGCCAUUUGAUCUCAGCCUGAAACAGAGAUUUUGGCAAGUGUUGCUUGCUACUGUAGUAGUGUGCUACCAUUGACAUCAUUGUGAUCAUUCACAGAGGCAUGACUGUGGAAAGCUUUUGUGCUGUAUCAAACGAGAGAGAUCAUCAACAUGUAUUUGAUUCAGUUUAUGUACAAUGAAGAAAAGGAAUUCGUCGGUGUA
Musa acuminata AAA Group (dessert banana) is the source of this 2296-nucleotide long non-coding RNA. RefSeq lists it as uncharacterized. The transcript is spliced from 2 exons. Lineage: Eukaryota; Viridiplantae; Streptophyta; Magnoliopsida; Zingiberales; Musaceae. The record is from RefSeq and is a predicted model, not a curated record.